Molecule: non-coding RNA, 85 nt
Organism: Paramuricea clavata
Lineage: Eukaryota; Metazoa; Cnidaria; Anthozoa; Malacalcyonacea; Plexauridae
Source: the annotation of a GenBank genome assembly
AUUUUAUUUCAUCGCUACACAGUGUUUCACGUACAGCGUACCUGAAACGCUGUACGUGAAACGCUGUGUAGCGAUGAAAUAAAAU